RNAcentral lists this ribosomal RNA (497 nucleotides) under uncultured bacterium. RNAcentral describes it as "partial 16S ribosomal RNA". It matches the Rfam family "Bacterial small subunit ribosomal RNA", at positions 28 to 507 of the family's 1533-position model. The record is from RNAcentral.
GAUGAACGCUGGCGGCGUGCCUAAUACAUGCAAGUCGAGCGAACAGACGAGGAGCUUGCUCCUCUGACGUUAGCGGCGGACGGGUGAGUAACACGUGGAUAACCUACCUAUAAGACUGGGAUAACUUCGGGAAACCGGAGCUAAUACCGGAUAAUAUAUUGAACCGCAUGGUUCAAUAGUGAAAGACGGUUUUGCUGUCACUUAUAGAUGGAUCCGGGCCCCAUUAGCUAGUUGGUAAGGUAACGGCUUACCAAGGCAACGAUGCGUAGCCGACCUGAGAGGGUGAUCGGCCACACUGGAACUGAGACACGGUCAAGACUCCUACGGGAGGAAGCAGUAGGGAAUCUUCCGCAAUGGGCGAAAGCUUGACGGAGCAACGCCGCGUGAGUGAUGAAGGUUUUCGGAUCGUAAACCUCUGUUAUUAGGGAAGAACAAAUGUGUAAGUAACUAUGCACGUCUUGACGGUACCUAAUCAGAAAGCCACGGCUAACUACGUG